Molecule: long non-coding RNA, 4635 nt
Filed under: Buteo japonicus
Lineage: Eukaryota; Metazoa; Chordata; Aves; Accipitriformes; Accipitridae
Description: lncRNA (ENSBJAG00000000555.1)
Source: RNAcentral
UAAUGUGUGUCCGAUGGUUUAGCUCCUAAAAGCAGAUUAUCAGCUUCUCAGUGCAUGUACUGCAUGGCUUUGAAACAUCAAUGGCACAAAUUGUUUUUGUUCUUUGCUUCGUUUGCUUCAUAUUCUUUGCUUCUUUAUUGACAUGAAACAAAUAAACAUUUCCAUUGUUGGCAGCAUCAGUAAUGAAGGCAUCAGUAGCUACAGUGCUGAAGAUGUAUCCAAUCCAAAUUCAAGCAUGGUGUCUUCAGAGGUGACAGGACAGAACAGUAUCUUCCAAGAACAUGGAGGACAAACAGGCUCUGAUUUCUUAACGCAGGCUGCAGAAGCAAGAGAGAGAAGUUUGCCUAUCUCAAUGACUUUUGCAGACUGUGCCAAGGAACAUGUCACAGCGGAUCUUACAAGAAGCAAUGACAAGUUACCAACCUCAAAUUGCAAUGAAGCAGUGCCAUCAUCGGGUCCAUUGAAUGACAAAGAAGAGGGAAUAGCACAUACCACAUCUGUGGACAGAGGCCCAAAAUGUGACAACAUUGCUGUUGCUUCUAUGAAAAACAGUGAGAAUGAUCCCAGAAACCCAAGCCUAGAGCCCAGCCCUCCUGCAGCAAUUACAGAAACGCAAGGAGUAGCACAAAUGAGUUUGAGUGAAUUAGGAUCACUCUGGCAGAGUGAACAGCUGGGUGGCAUGAGGGAACCACAUGUCAGCAUGUUUCCCCAGGGUAAAGAAGCAGAUUAUUUUACUGCUCAGGAGGCCAAGCAGGAGCGAGGAGUUUUGGAAGUAGGUCAGCCGCAGACUGUAAUGCAGCAAGGUAGACGGAACACAGAUGGUGGAGAGGGUCUGCUAAUGAAAAAGGAAACCUUAAUCCUAAAUUAUCCAGCAACAGGAGGCUCAGACAGUGAAAAAUUUGGAGCAAUUGUGGAUGCUCAGGGCUUCACUGAGAUCAGUGAAGUUUGUAAUCUACAGAUGGGGGCUGUAACAACAGCUAAAGGGGAUGAGGCAAAUCUAGCUCUAUCUGGAAGCAAAGAGGAGCAAUCAGAAGCCUGUACUUUAAUGUCAGAUUUGCCUUCUAACCCUCCAAGUCUCUUCCUGGUACCAAAGCCUGAAGAGCCUUCGAGGGAAUGUGUGCCUGGAAAUGACUCUCAAGAUCCAAUGAGGAGUGAAGCAGUGAAAACAGCCUCUGAAAAAAAUGAACCCGUUUUUCAAAGAGAGCUUCAAAAGGAGGAUGAGCUUGUUAGUGCCGAGCAUGUCAGUGUGCCUUUAUCGUUUAAGCAAAAGGAAGAACAAAAAUCAGCUGUCACAACUGAAAGCCCAAAAGAUGAAGCCAGUAGCAAUGAAAUUAUAAAAGCUGAUGAUGUGUCUGGAGAAAGCACCACACUUUCUGAAACAGAAAGCAUUAUCAAUCCCACCAAGGAAAAUUCCCUUGUAGAUAAAAGAAUAUUACAGGAAGAAUAUGCAUUAAGUACUUCUCUGAGCAGAUCCACAGAGCUGAAUCAAAAAGAAACCGUGGCGGGUGUAACAGAAGAAAAAAACGAAGUCAGAACAGAGGAGGCACAAGUGACAGAAACCAGUGAAUUACCUGAGGGGUCAAGUGGGGCAGAAAGACAACUAUUGAACUCUGUUAGUAGCCACCACCAGGACAUGGGGAAUACCCACUCGGGACACAAUCCUGAAGAACUCAGUCUUUGUGAAAAGACUUCAGCGGGUGACCUAGGGGAAGAAGCUGGGGGAAAGCCUCUGUAUUUAGACAGUAACUUUAAAUCGCCUGAAGACAAUUCACAGUCUCUUGGUUGUAAACCUGAACAGCAAAUGAGUGAAGAGAAAACAGCUGCCACAGAUGACCUGGAGAAUAAGCUCGUGGCUUCACCACAGUUUCCAAGGGAGGAAUGCCCACUGAGUUUUGAUUGCUUUAACACUGAGGCAAAGGACAAAACUUUGGGCCAGCCAGGCUGUAACGGGACUGAAAAGGUUUGUUUAGCCAGUGCACACAGUUCACCGCUCCUCCAUUCUGAGAACAAUAAUAUUAAGCAGAGUAAGCAGGAUGAGUCCUGGGAAAAGGCUUUUGCUAGAGAAACUGUGUUGGAAUCUGAAUGCAAAACCGAGAGUCAAGAAAAGCCUGAGAGCUAUAGCAAGUCAGAAGAAAGUGCAAAAAUGUCCAAAUCGGAACUCAAGCUCCAGCGCUUAAAUGAGUUGGCAGGGACUAUGGAUCGCAUGGCUGUACAAACCAAGGAGGCCUCGCAGGUUUCGGAAACCAAAGAACAGAACGGUCACAUCACUGACGUUCCUCACAGCGAUCCAGAACACGGACCUGCAGCUGCAGCUGCAGCUGCACAAAACAGUGCUGUGAAUGGUAAAGAAAAUGAGAGUAUUCAACAGGAGAAACGCCAAACUGCGGUGAAGGAGGACAAAGAUUUGGCGCUAAAAAAUGACUGCAAAUCGGAUGUGCUGAUGCAAGCUCAGCUGGAGCAAGUGGCUGCAGAAAGUCACAGAAAUAUGCAGUUGGCUUGUUCAGAAGGCUCCCAAGCUGUAGUUGAUACUUCAGGACUCACUGCUCAGCAAGUUCAUGUGGAGGAAGGGGGUGACAGCCCCGUCAGUGAAAACAACUGUCCCUCUGAGAGUGACACGUGCAGCUCUUCAGAGACCCUGGAGGGCAGUGUCAGAGAAUUGCAGGAAAAUGCAGAUGUUCCAACUGCUCUUCCGCAAGCAGAGCAAAUGGAGAAGUCAGUGUCUGUUGCUGGUGACAGUGACUGGAUUUCAAAUACAGGACUUGAACAACAGAAGCAGCAAAGCAGUCUGACAACUGUCACAAGAGCAGAUGAUCAGGAACACAAAGAAGGGGCUCUAAAACCUGAACAGCCAUUGGACCUAAAUAAUCACAGCAACAUACCAGAAAUACCUCUAAACAUUUCAAACAACCUUAAUAAAGACCGUUCUGUGCUAGGUACAGCACCGAUCCAAUGCGACUCUGACACAGCAAAAGAAAAGGACAAGGAUAAAAGCAGUGCUGUGGUGUCAGAGGAUAUGUGCAGCAGCAAACAUGGGCAAAAUACUUCUGGUGUGACCAUGCUUAAUUUGCAAGAUUGCAACAAGCAAAACAAAACUGAUCUCAAGGCAGAAGAAAACUGCCGCAGUAAGCAAAACUCAAACAAGCCCGAGCUGGAUAAUAAUUCUUUGAUCUCAGCUAGUCAGCAUGAAGUAGCAUGUCAUAGCGAUACAUUUUCUAAAGAAUCUGACAAGAAUGAACAGGCAGGCAGCGUAUGCAGGAUAAAGAAUAAUACUGGUGAAAGCCAUGCUGCUGCUAUAAACGCUCUUCCAGGGACACAGAAUUCAGCAAGUGCCACUAACAUAUCACAGGCUUUGCCAAGUGAUACAGAAAUAGCACAUACUUCUGAUAAUUCUGAGAAAAAUGAUCCUCAAAUAUCUCAUCCAGAAACUCAAGGGAAAAUGCCAUUAAUGGCAAAAAAUUUGGAAAAGAUUGAAGGUCUGACUGCUGAUUUGGAAAUCAUCCGGAAAGAUGGAAACAUGGAGAUAAGUUGUGAGAACAGUGCUUCUGUCGCAGAAACAAGCAACAUGAAAAGUGAUAAAAGUCCAGAGGCACAAGGAUCUCCUUCACCAUUACAGGCACACGGGGAAGUAAUUCCCACUGAUAAGUCACAUAAAUCCAGCUGCAUUCAAAAGACACCAGAGGAGCCUGGUUAUUGUCAAGCAAAUUUUACAGCCCUCUCGACAGGGACCUCUGCACUCAGCCAUCCUAGCCAGCAACCUGGAAACAAUAUGAACAAUGGUACUGGGGGGGAAUUACUAAAUAAUGAGCUGGAAUUUGUAGCAUGCCAAAAUGCCUUAGAAGUUAAUUCUGAUUUGCAGAUUGCUGCAGGUUCUCAGGUGCCUGUGCACUUAGGUCCUUCACCCAGGGUAAGCACAGGUAAAACAGCAAAUUCAGAAAACAGCUCUGCGGGGAGUAUGCGUGUGAAUGAAAAAGAUGUUCCAGACCAAAGUUUUCAGGGUGAUGGAGACAGAAGUUUAGCCCCACCAGAGACUUUAAAUGUGGGGCAGAGUACUGGAAACUUAUCACAAUUCAAUUCUGAGAAGCCAAAGAAAGAGGUAUCUGCAAUUAAAUCCAAAGAAACAAAAAGUGAGGUAAACUUCAAAGAACAGCAAAGUGACAGUUCAGCAGAGUCUGUUUUAGCUCUCCCUACUCUAGAAGGGAAGCUGCUGAGCCUUUCAUCUGUUGGUAAACAAGAAGGCUGUAAUGAGGAAAUUGCAACCAAUAUCUGCGUAGAUGACAAGUACGGUAAGAUCUUAGAGAAACCUGGGAAUUCAGAAAAAAUGGAAGAGCUUGCAAAAGAGAAUAAUAACAUAACCAGGGCAGAGAUCAGUAUUUCCGAGCAGUCUGCAGAGAACUCUGGAAGGGAGCAUGAGGCUCUGACUUGCAGCUCUCUGGACAUUGGCUCCAGCCUCCCAGACUUCAGGGAGCAUAUCAGCCAGAUAUUUAAAAAAACUGUCCACAGCACACUGCAUGCUGAAUUACCCCAACUUUUGUCUGAAAACCAUGCAGGCUUCAAGCAAAGUCCAGGGGCCAAGGAUACAGCAGAACUGUGCGGUGCUGAGAACUUUUCAGAAUCAAGUAAGACGAGCAAAGGAGC